UCUUAGUGGCGGACGGGUGAGUAACGCGUAGGUAACCUGCCUUAUACAGGGGGAUAACACUUAGAAAUAGGUGCUAAUACCGCAUAAGCGCACGGGGCUGCAUGGCCCAGUGUGAAAAACUCCGGUGGUAUAAGAUGGACCCGCGUCUGAUUAGCUUGUUGGCGGGGUAACGGCCCACCAAGGCGACGAUCAGUAGCCGGCCUGAGAGGGUGGACGGCCACAUUGGGACUGAGACACGGCCCAAACUCCUACGGAAGGCAGCAG
This 264-nucleotide ribosomal RNA is filed under the name uncultured bacterium. Its description in RNAcentral is "partial 16S ribosomal RNA". It matches the Rfam family "Bacterial small subunit ribosomal RNA", at positions 90 to 354 of the family's 1533-position model. The record is from RNAcentral.